CCUACGGGUGGCAGCAGUGGGGAAUAUUGGACAAUGGGGGGGAACCCUGAUCCAGCCAUGCCGCGUGUGUGAAGAAGGCCCUCGGGUUGUAAAGCACUUUCAGUGAGGAAGAACGCCUGGUGGUUAAUACCCAUCAGGAAAGACAUCACUCACAGAAGAAGCACCGGCUAACUCCGUGCCAGCAGCCGCGGUAAUACGGAGGGUGCGAGCGUUAAUCGGAAUUACUGGGCGUAAAGCGCGCGUAGGUGGCUUGAUAAGCCGGUUGUGAAAGCCCCGGGCUCAACCUGGGAACGGCAUCCGGAACUGUCAAGCUAGAGUGCAGGAGAGGAAGGUAGAAUUCCCGGUGUAGCGGUGAAAUGCGUAGAGAUCGGGAGGAAUACCAGUGGCGAAGGCGGCCUUCUGGACUGACACUGACACUGAGGUGCGAAAGCGUGGGUAGCAAACAGGAUUAGAUACCCUGGUAGUC
Molecule: ribosomal RNA, 466 nt
Filed under: Vreelandella stevensii
Lineage: Bacteria; Pseudomonadati; Pseudomonadota; Gammaproteobacteria; Oceanospirillales; Halomonadaceae
Description: partial 16S ribosomal RNA
Rfam family: Bacterial small subunit ribosomal RNA
Source: RNAcentral